Camellia sinensis is the source of this 463-nucleotide non-coding RNA. The record is from RefSeq and is a predicted model, not a curated record. Lineage: Eukaryota; Viridiplantae; Streptophyta; Magnoliopsida; Ericales; Theaceae.
UGUUACUCUCCCACCUCAAACAAAUCUCUCCUACCCUCAAACACCAUUACAAAUCUCUCAUACCCUCAAACACUUUCAGUCCCUCAAACCAUUACUUCUAACAAUCCACUACAUCAACUUGCUUCAUCAACAGUGAACGGCAGCAAUCCACAGUAGGCCAUCGAAUGCAAGUCUCGUUUUUCUUUUGUUACCAAAUGCAGAUUUUGAAAGCCACUGCAGAUUUUGAAAGAUAGAGAUGAAUGUGUGAAGGAGAAAGAGAAGAAGUGAUCACAUAAAGAUUUUGAAAAGCCACUGCAGAUUUUGAAAGAUAGAGAUGAAUGUGUGAAGGAGGAAGAGAGGAGUGAUCACAUAAAGAUUUUGAAAAGCCACUUGCAGAUUUUGAAAGAUAGAGAUUAAUGUGUGAAAGAGGAAGAGAGGAGUGAUCACAUAAAGGUGAGUGUAAUGGUAAUGGAUGUAAAACUUU